RNAcentral lists this ribosomal RNA (253 nucleotides) under uncultured bacterium. RNAcentral describes it as "partial 16S ribosomal RNA". It matches the Rfam family "Bacterial small subunit ribosomal RNA", at positions 524 to 776 of the family's 1533-position model. The record is from RNAcentral.
CACGUAGGCACCAAGCGUUAUCCGGAUUUAUUGGGCGUAAAGAGCUCGUAGGCGGUUCGGUAAGUCGGGUGUGAAACUCUGGGCUCAACCCAGAGAGGCCACCCGAUACUGCUGUGACUAGAGUGCGGUAGGGGAGCGGGGAAUUCCUGGUGUAGCGGUGAAAUGCGCAGAUAUUAGGAGGAACACCGGUGGCGAAGGCGCCGCUCUGGGCCGAAACUGACGCUGAGGAGCGAAAGCAUGGGUAGCAAACAGG